This 275-nucleotide ribosomal RNA is filed under the name uncultured bacterium. RNAcentral's name for it is "partial 16S ribosomal RNA". It matches the Rfam family "Bacterial small subunit ribosomal RNA", at positions 399 to 691 of the family's 1533-position model. The record is from RNAcentral.
GCGUGGAUGAAGAAGGUCUUCGGAUUGUAAAGUCCUUUCGACGGGGACGAUGAUGACGGUACCCGUAGAAGAAGCCCCGGCUAACUUCGUGCCAGCAGCCGCGGUAAUACGAAGGGGGCUAGCGUUACUCGGAAUUACUGGGCGUAAAGGGCGCGUAGGCGGCUUUUCAAGUUGGACGUGAAAUUCCUGGGCUCAACCUGGGGACUGCGUUCAAGACUGUGGAGCUAGAGGAUGGAAGAGGGUCGUGGAAUUCCCAGUGUAGAGGUGAAAUUCGU